Molecule: ribosomal RNA, 425 nt
Filed under: uncultured bacterium
Lineage: Bacteria
Description: bacterial SSU rRNA
Rfam family: Bacterial small subunit ribosomal RNA
Source: RNAcentral
GUGGGGAAUCUUAGACAAUGGGCGCAAGCCUGAUCUAGCCAUGCCGCGUGAGCGAUGAAGGCCUUAGGGUUGUAAAGCUCUUUCAGGGGGGAAGAUAAUGACGGUACCCCCAGAAGAAGCCCCGGCUAACUCCGUGCCAGCAGCCGCGGUAAUACGGAGGGGGCUAGCGUUGUUCGGAAUUACUGGGCGUAAAGCGCACGUAGGCGGACCAGAAAGUCAGGGGUGAAAUCCCGGGGCUCAACCCCGGAACUGCCUUUGAAACUCCUGGUCUUGAGGUCGAGAGAGGUGAGUGGAAUUCCGAGUGUAGAGGUGAAAUUCGUAGAUAUUCGGAGGAACACCAGUGGCGAAGGCGGCUCACUGGCUCGAUACUGACACUGAGGAGCGAAAGCGUGGGUAGCAAACAGGAUUAGAUACCCCAGUAGUCC